CUUAAUGAUAACUUGGCAGAAGAGGAGACAGGCUGCCAGGUUCUCCUCGGGUGGUUGCGUGGCAAAUUCUGUUUGUGCUUCACCAACCCACAAGUCAGUGCAGUGGCCAAAUGGCCCCUCUCCUUGGCAGGCCACUCAAACUCUGCAGAGGUUUCCACGGUUAUGAAAAACAUGUGGAGCCAAGCACUCGGGUGCCCUGGUCAGGAAUCCAGGUUGAUCUCUACCACGGUUCAUCAUAAAACCUCACAGAGUCUUGGAACUAGCUAAAGGAAAGAGAGGAGUCACUCACAGUCCUGCAAGUGCUGAGGUUGCAAGGGAAGGGAUGGGAGACGGAAGAAUCCUAACGGGUCUGGAGGGAGGAAAAAUGGAGAAGACUUGGGAAAGAGUUGGAGUCAGCUGACUUCAAUAUUCUGUAGUGGACAACUGAAUUAAUUGUAGGCUAUUAAUGAUGUGCAUAUUAAAAUUAAGGAAAUACUGAAUUCGAAUUGAGCUAUGUGGGGUUACAACCCUUUAGUACAGCCUGAUUCCCUGGCCACAGGAAGGAGGAUGUCGAAGGUAUUAGUAGCUGAAUUCAUUUAUUUGUGAACUACCAGUAUGGGGGUGACAGUCAAAGCUGUUAAUAAAGAUAACGGAAAGGUAUUAAUGAAAAUGAUCUCAUGGUCUGAAAUAAAACUACAUUUAUUUCAUCAAGCUAAUUAUGUAAAAUAUGUAACACCCCAGCAAAUGUCGAUGACUUGAGAUUUGCAGACUGCUGAAUUUGUCCCAUCCUUUGCAGAAUAGAAGCCUUUGUCCACCCUGGGUGUUGGGUCACACUUGGUCCACUCGAGGCUCAGUUUUCCAUAUGCGAUAGCACACUGACUGCCUGGGGGCAGAAGGAGGCGGGCAGAG
Molecule: long non-coding RNA, 888 nt
Organism: Mus caroli (Ryukyu mouse)
Lineage: Eukaryota; Metazoa; Chordata; Mammalia; Rodentia; Muridae
Source: RefSeq, a predicted model, not a curated record